UAACAUCCAGAUUCAAGGCAUAUCAACAGUUCACUUAUUUGGGGAGUCAAAUUUCCUAUCCCAGUGGCUUGAAUUGCGUGAGAUAGCAAGGGGCUGAAAUAACGGCGAGCUCUAGGGAUCAAUAAGUAGUAAACCUUGUAAAUCUCGUUAGACUAACAACCAUAUUAAUUAUGUCACAAGAAAAUGUUACCCACUGAUAAAGAUAGAAACUUAGAGAGGUUUUACUGAACUUUAUCUUUAUUUUCCACCCUCAUUACAGACACCCAUCAUCACCCUUUAUACAGAACAUACAAGACAAUCUAAACGUUAUACCACAGCUGUCAUCUGUGAGUCACACAGAGCAUCAAAUCUGUUACAAAGUUGGAGCUCCUCCUUUUCCGUACUCGAGCUCCUUCCUCCUCUCUGAACCGUUGCUCUGUCUUUUGUCUUGUUCUGUUCUUUCUGUGAUGGGCCUUUUGCUUCUUCUGUUUUACUCUGGCCCAUUUGACUGAUCUUCUUUAC
This 501-nucleotide long non-coding RNA is filed under the name Brassica napus (rape). RNAcentral's name for it is "long non-coding RNA (BNAP_LNC018974)". Lineage: Eukaryota; Viridiplantae; Streptophyta; Magnoliopsida; Brassicales; Brassicaceae. The record is from RNAcentral.